CUUUGGUGCUGGAGGCUUCUCAAUCUCUGUGAUUCCCUCAAGCAUUUGCACAACUCUUCCCAUCAUUGGCCUUUGAGAUGGUUGCUCUUGGAUACACCAAAAGCUCACCUGAAUUGCCCUCGUUGCUUGCUCCAUGUCCACAUCUUGAUCAACAAGCCUUUUGUCCACAAUGGCCUUCACGUUACCCUUCUCAAACUCUUCAUAAGCCCAAAGAGAGACCUUUUUUCGAUUUGGUUCAUCCAAGAUCUCAAAAUUUCUUCUUCCACUCACUAACUCCAGCAAAACCAUACCAUAACUGUAAACAUCAGA
Molecule: unclassified non-coding RNA, 309 nt
Filed under: Hevea brasiliensis (rubber tree)
Lineage: Eukaryota; Viridiplantae; Streptophyta; Magnoliopsida; Malpighiales; Euphorbiaceae
Source: RNAcentral